UUGUAUUUCUACAUUUGUGCAUAACUUUGUCCAUUGUGGUUAGGCUUAACGCACUGUGGGGAUAGAUCAUCCUGAAAACAUACAAGCACAAAGUACUCGAUCCAUGCAUGACCAUUUUUCCGUAGGAACGCAAACGAGAGCAAGGGGGAGGGCGGUGGACAUUGCGUGUGUGUCCCACUGACCUAGAAACCGGCUGCUCCGUAAACACGGUGCGUGCGCGCACUAGGUCCAACGCUGUGCUGUAAAAUAGGUCAGUGGGGCGGCAACGGUGUGUGCGUGCGUGCGUGCGCGGGUGUGUGUCUGUGAUAGAGUGCGUCUGAGCAAGUGGGGAGGAAUUAUAGUGCCUACCAAAAAUAGUGUGCUCGGGUGAGGGAGGAGUUAAGGAUUCCAAUUGGGGGACGAGACAGGAAUUUACCAGCACUGCGGAGGUACGAAAAAAGAGCGAAUACGUCAGCAUCAGAAUAUUAGAUUAAACUGGGCUAUGAAUCACUCCAGUGAUGCACUGAUACACAUCAAGUACACUAGCAUUUUCCUGAAACGCAAUGAGAAAAGGGAGGAAGAUUUCAGAAAUAGAGAUUCAAGGAUUGGCCAGCUUUUGUGCUAUCACUCAUCAGCUACAAAACGGAGAGCGAGGUACUGCACAGUCCAGACUGCAGGUUGUGGCUCGAAGCCAAAUUGCCAUCACAGUCGAGGAUCAUUUUAGGACAUGCCGAGCUAAAUUCAGACACCUAAGUUACUAUAAAUAUAGUGCCUGUAAACCUUUAUUUAAUGGUAAAUUACUGACUUAGCACAGGAAUGAUUUUCAAAAAAUAAAGAGGAAGACAUAACAGUCUACCUGCACAUUUGUGCUAUUGGUUCCGCCAGCUUGUUUACUUUUCCUCUUCCGAGAAUAAGCGUCCAGAAUUCAGAAAAAAAAGAGCUUGUGGUCCGGUCAAACACACAGUUAUGCACCGUUCCACAUGGAUGGUGUUUACAACUGGAAACCUCCCUGCAUGUAUUCUCCCAGUCACAUGUAGGCAAAACUGUUCCGCCUCCAGCCUUCCUUCCAAACCUAAAGGCCAAGUAGGCCAGUAAGACUGUGAGGUGGUGUGUUGGCUAGACUCUUAAUUACAGAGGUUAAUGCUCAAAACACAACAGCUCCUACGAAAAAUUAAGUUGACACCAACUUGUCAGAGACUGGGAUACUCUUCAGAAUGGCUGACCGCUUGCGUGCAUGUCAUUAGGGGGGGGGUUUCUGACACCAGAAUGUUCUUUUUUUUGGUUUUCAGACUGAUGCUUAGUAUUGUGAGAAGUUUGGAAGCAAUGUGAGGCAGUUUCAGAUUCCUUGCAUUGCUGAACGGGGAGUGGUGAAAUUGUUAAGGGGCAAAGUGUACUUAGUUUGGGAGUAGGUCAGCUUUUUAUGAGCCGAGCACGCAACGGGUAUUGCAUCACAAUUAGUUAUGAUAAAUGAUUAAACAUCAGACUGCCGGUCUUCCUCGUGACUAAACCUCUCUUUCCCAACCAAAAGUUUUACACUGUACGAUAACCUACGAGACACGCACUCGCGUUACAAGGAUUUAAUUAAUUAUUAUUUAAUAAUCGCUGUUACUAUUAGUCUUCCGUGACGUGAUCAUUGAACAGCCACGCGCCCGUCUCUGUUCGAACAUCGCGCAAACCAAACAACCCCUCGCGUGGCAUCGUAACGCUUCGUCCUAUUUUACAACCAUACGCGUUGUAAGAAACGCUGACUUGCAACUAACUUAUAGAAACGCAUAGGAACGGCGCCUCCGCAAUGCACAGACAUUAACUGACCCCUCAGCCACUCUCGCGUUCGGAUUUCGUAAUGAUCACCACCUCCCCCCACGCCACGACCGUCUCGCCUUGACAUUGAAUGUGAAUACGUAUGCGACGCACAAUGCGAGAUAAUCUGUUGCCGCCUUAGUUCACGACACCCCAAAAUGCACAAUAAAGAAAAAAAAUCGUUGUAAACCGAACAAUUCGUCAGCCAGCGAAUGCGUUUGAGAGGCACGCCGACCCCGAGUCCGUUUCCAUGUGAACAAUAACAUGCCCUGACCACGUUGCAAGGAGAGAAACAUGCACAGACCAAGCACAAUUUAAGAGCAAAACCGGCAGAAAAAAAACAUUAGAGGACAACACGAGAUGGGCCUUUCCCCAGGAGGAAGCAUUAUUAUGGGAUACACUCACGCUUGCGACGCAGAGUGAUGCGGCUGUCAGUCUCUGAGCUUUCUUGGUCUUUCAGACCUCUGGGAUGGAUGAGAAAAGAGCGGGCUAGCAUGCUGCUGGAUGUUAAUAUGGACACCGU
Molecule: long non-coding RNA, 2302 nt
Organism: Puntigrus tetrazona (Sumatra barb)
Lineage: Eukaryota; Metazoa; Chordata; Actinopteri; Cypriniformes; Cyprinidae
Exons: 3
Source: RefSeq, a predicted model, not a curated record